UACGGAGGAUCCAAGCGUUAUCCGGAAUCAUUGGGUUUAAAGGGUCCGUAGGCGGUUUUGUAAGUCAGUGGUGAAAUCUGGUCGCUUAACGAUCAAACGGCCAUUGAUACUGCAAGACUUGAAUUAUUGGGAAGUAACUAGAAUAUGUAGUGUAGCGGUGAAAUGCUUAGAUAUUACAUGGAAUACCAAUUGCGAAGGCAGGUUACUAUCAAUAUAUUGACGCUGAUGGACGAAAGCGUGGGGAGCGAACAGG
This 253-nucleotide ribosomal RNA is filed under the name uncultured microorganism. Its description in RNAcentral is "partial small subunit ribosomal RNA". It matches the Rfam family "Bacterial small subunit ribosomal RNA", at positions 524 to 776 of the family's 1533-position model. The record is from RNAcentral.